Non-coding RNA from Pantherophis guttatus, 97 nucleotides. The record is from RefSeq and is a predicted model, not a curated record. Lineage: Eukaryota; Metazoa; Chordata; Lepidosauria; Squamata; Colubridae.
GGAUAACAGUUGCCUUUACAAGAGAUGGGAUAUGGGAAGAAGAUAUCGUUAUAAUUUAAGAGAAAGUGAAAAUUAUUAAAAUUGCUUAUACUUGUGA